Molecule: long non-coding RNA, 1192 nt
Organism: Astatotilapia calliptera (eastern happy)
Lineage: Eukaryota; Metazoa; Chordata; Actinopteri; Cichliformes; Cichlidae
Source: Ensembl
GGGAGGGGAUGGGCGAGAGGGAUGCGGAGAGCGGCCUGCGCUGAAUCUCACAUCUUGGUGCUGAAUGGGAAUCACUGACCAUUCCCACCCACAUUAGUAGAAGAUAUUUGGAUCUUGUUUUAUUUUAUUUUCUUUGCACGUCUCUCUGUGCCAAUAAUAGCGCAUCAAACCUGCGUGCACAGGGCCCUGGAAGCACUUUGAUGCUUCCAGGUGCCCAAGUGUCCUUGUGUAAGAUAUCGAACCCCAGAUUGCUCUCCGAUGCGUUCAUCAGAGUAUGAAUGUGUGUGUCUGUUAGAUAGACAGCACUUAAGUGUAGAAAAAUCGUGCUUGUAUGAGUGGGUAAAUGAAGCAUGUUGUGUAAAGCGCUUGGAGCGCUCAAGUGGAGUAGAAAAGUGCGAUAUAAGAAACAGUCCAUUUAUAAAGAUAUGUUAAGUAGCCCAAAAAGGCUGGAUUGGUUAUAAUGUAAGUACAAUAACACAGAGUCAUAAAGAUACUUGAAUCAGGUCACAGUUUGUUUACCAAAGCAAACAAAUAUAUCGUGCUUUAAAAAACACAAAAAACCCCACUGGAAAUCUUUUUUUUUUUUUUUUUUUUUUUUUUUUUUGGUAGUCACUCACUUUUUGGCACACCACGGGCAGUCCAGCUUUACAUGCUUUACAACACCCCAAAUACAAGUGUGGUGGUUAGUUAUCAGCUCCUGCACUUAGUCUGCUGCUUUAAGUAGUAAAAUUGUGUAUUUAAUAUUAGAUACAAGGACAAAUUACAAUCAAAUUAUUAUGUGAUUGUAUUGAACUGAUUAUAUAUGAUUACAUUGCACUGACCUUUGUUUAAGUACAAAUCAGUUUGGAUCAUUGACAAAAUAUACCUGAAUACUUUUUUUAUUCAACAAGUAGUAGAAAGUAACUCAGUACAUUUACUAAAGUAUUUUAAGGUUACUUAUGUAUAGCAGGACUCAAAUUUGUUUUUUUAAUCACCUGUUUCUAUCAUUAGGGCUUAGUCUGUGUGACAGCCUCAGCUCUUUACAGCAAAGCCCGUAUGUUUCUGUGAGCUAUCUGUAGAAUGAUAGGUCACAGAAUCAGGACCACUCUUGCACAUCUGAUCUAGUUCAUUCUUUCUCAUCAAGCAGAAGAAACAAUCUGCUUGCAUGAAAGUGGAUCAAGUGCAUUUUAUUACAUAUUAAUGUCUGUUAGAG